Long non-coding RNA from Astyanax mexicanus (Mexican tetra), 1157 nucleotides. RefSeq lists it as uncharacterized. NCBI's taxonomy places the organism in Eukaryota, Metazoa, Chordata, Actinopteri, Characiformes, Acestrorhamphidae. The record is from RefSeq and is a predicted model, not a curated record. The transcript has 6 exons.
AACUACACAAUGACCAGCUGAUGCCUGUACCUCAUUCAAAAUCCUUAGUUCAUGCACCAAAGGUGCAUGAAUUUAUGUCAGUGACCAUGUCUGAGUCAGAAGGAAGAGGUAUUUUGUUGUUGAUUACAAACAACACCAAAUGCUUUCUCAUGUGUUCAUAUAUUUGUAUACUCUGUGUUAAACCUACUGCACUUUUUCCUGAGUAGCAUAAAUUAAUUUCGGCAUUACCUAGAUGUUUGGUCGGUUAAAGUAUAAUACAUUGUGAUAUGCAUGGCCAAAGCAAUUGAUCAUUUGGGAAACAGCAGAGAGUUGUACAAAAAUCAUUUGCAAUGGCGCUCCAAAGCAUUUGCUAUUUGUUUGAAAUGGUUUUGAGAAAUUAAAUUCUGAUCUGAAAAAUUCUCCAAAGCAGCCAAAAAAACUGCACUAAUACUAAACUAAAAAAAAUGUUUCCCCCUUCAGUAAACUCACCACUGGAAUGUGGAUGGAUACUCUGGUCAUGUUCGGCUCUCUGAGCGGGUUCAGCCCAUGUGAACUGGUUGGACCUGGGCCACCGUGAUGUUUCUUGUUGUACGAAAACUCACCACUGGAAUGGGAAAGAACACCCUGGUCAUGUCCUGUUCUUUGAGAGGGUGCUGUCCACAUGGGCUGGUUGGACAUGGCCCGCUGUGAUGUUUCUUGUUGUACGGUAGGUGCUGUUUACAGACAUCUAAAGUUCUUUGAAGAGGUGAGGUUUUCCCUUACCAGGCUGUGGGACCUCUGCUUUCCUGACGCUUUUGAGGAGUCUGGUUUCAUCUUUGUAGGGUGGCCACCACGAGAAGCCAUGUUCGUACCAAGAUUUUGACACUGGUCCGGUUUGCUCCUCCCCCACAAACUCUACUAUGAGAAUUGAAAAGUUUAUGGAGAAUUAGUAAACCUCUCAACAGAAGAAGAAGAAUACAAGUUGCAUGUGAAAGGUGCAUGAAGUCUGUAUUUCCAACAAGCCAUUGAAGAGAGAAUUGUCCUCUAACUGAGAAUCCACACAGGUUGUUGCAAUCCUUACUUUGCAAAAAUGGCUAGUCACACAUUUGUACUGAAAAUUGGCUGAUAUUGUUUAUAUAGUUGUCAGUCCUAUAGACAUGAUCAAACUUGUUAUACACUACAUAAAGAGUGAAGUCAGU